RNAcentral lists this transfer RNA (86 nucleotides) under Actinomycetes bacterium. RNAcentral's name for it is "tRNA-Leu". It matches the Rfam family "tRNA". Rfam says of the family: Transfer RNA (tRNA) molecules are approximately 80 nucleotides in length. Their secondary structure includes four short double-helical elements and three loops (D, anti-codon, and T loops). Lineage: Bacteria; Bacillati; Actinomycetota; Actinomycetes. The record is from RNAcentral.
GUCGGAGUGGCGGAAUGGCAGACGCGCUAGCUUGAGGGGCUAGUGCCUGAAAGGGCGUGAGGGUUCAAGUCCCUCCUCCGACACCA